AUACGUAGGUGGCAAGCGUUGUCCGGAAUUAUUGGGCGUAAAGCGCAUGUAGGCGGUAAUUUAAGUCUGUCGUGAAACUGCGGGGCCCAGCCCCGUAUGGCGAUGGAAACUGGGUUACUUGAGUGCAGGAGAGGAAAGGGGAACUCCCAGUGUAGCGGUGAAAUGCGUAGAUAUUGGGAAGAACACCGGUGGCGAAGGCGCCUUUCUGAACUUUGUCUGACGCUGAGAUGCGAAAGCCAGGGUAGCGAACGGGAUUAGAUACCCCGGUAGUCCUGGCUGUAAACGAUGGGUACUAGGUGUGGGAGGUAUCGACCCCUUCCGUGCCGGAGUUAACGCAAUAAGUACCCCGCCUGGGGAGUACGGCCGCAAGGCUUAAACUCAAAUGAAUUGACGGGG
RNAcentral lists this ribosomal RNA (396 nucleotides) under uncultured bacterium. RNAcentral describes it as "partial 16S ribosomal RNA". It matches the Rfam family "Bacterial small subunit ribosomal RNA", at positions 523 to 918 of the family's 1533-position model. The record is from RNAcentral.